UCCUCCGUGGCGCAAUUGGCUAGCGCGUUCGACUGUUAUGAAUCAUCAUUGCUAUCGAGAGGUUGAAAGUUCGAGCCUUUCCGGGGGAG
Plenodomus tracheiphilus IPT5 is the source of this 89-nucleotide non-coding RNA. NCBI's taxonomy places the organism in Eukaryota, Fungi, Ascomycota, Dothideomycetes, Pleosporales, Leptosphaeriaceae. The record is from the annotation of a GenBank genome assembly.